Molecule: ribosomal RNA, 253 nt
Filed under: uncultured bacterium
Lineage: Bacteria
Description: partial 16S ribosomal RNA
Rfam family: Bacterial small subunit ribosomal RNA
Source: RNAcentral
UACAGAGGGGGCAAGCGUUAUUCGGAAUUAUUGGGCGUAAAGGGCGCGUAGGCGGCGAUUCAAGUGACGGGUGAAAUCCCUCGGCUUAACCGAGGAACUGCCUGUCAGACUGGAUUGCUUGAGGCCGGGAGAGGUGAGUGGAAUUCCCAGUGUAGCGGUGAAAUGCGUAGAUAUUGGGAGGAACACCAGUGGCGAAGGCGGCUCGCUGGACCGGUUCUGACGCUGAGGCGCGAAAGCGUGGGGAGCAAACAGG